GCCUGCCCAGUGACUUUGUUCAACGGCCGCGGUAUCCUAACCGUGCGAAGGUAGCGUAAUCACUUGUCUUUUAAAUGAGGACUUGUAUGAAUGGCAUCACGAGGGUUAUACUGUCUCCUUUUUCUAAUCAGUGAAACUAAUCUUCCCGUGAAGAAGCGGGAAUAAAUAUAUAAGACGAGAAGACCCUAUGGAGCUUUAAACUUAAUAACAAAUACUAACCUUACUUCAACUUCCAGAACAUUAAUCUUAAUCUUAGUAUCCUGUUUAUUAGUUUUAGGUUGGGGUGACCGCGGAGUAAAAAUUAACCUCCAUAUUGAAUAGGACUUGUCCUUGAGCUAAGAACUACAGCCCUAAGCACCAAUAAAUUGACAUUAAUUGACCCAAUAUUUUGAUCAACGAACCAAGUUACCCUAGGGAUAACAGCGCAAUCCACUUCAAGAGCUCCUAUCGACAAGUGGGUUUACGACCUCGAUGUUGGAUCAGGGUAUCCCAGUGGUGCAGCCGCUACUAAAGGUUCGUUUGUUCAACGAUUAAAACCCUACGUGAUCU
This 549-nucleotide ribosomal RNA is filed under the name Osteocephalus leprieurii group sp. ABGD cluster 10. RNAcentral's name for it is "partial large subunit ribosomal RNA". It matches the Rfam family "Bacterial large subunit ribosomal RNA", at positions 1857 to 2606 of the family's 2925-position model. The record is from RNAcentral. Lineage: Eukaryota; Metazoa; Chordata; Amphibia; Anura; Hylidae.